UUUUUUUUUUUUUUUAUCUCGAGUAGGAUUGGCGUUGUCCAUAUUUAAUGACACCCCGAAAUUACAAUUUUGUCUGUUUUUAAGGAGAUUUGCAUCAGUUAUCAGAAUAUUUUAAUAACUUCGGAAGAUUUUCGCGAUUUUUUUUCGUAUAUUUUACAAUUCAGGAGAAUUCCAGAAACCCUUUAAUAAUAAGUUAAAAUGGUUUAUUUUAAUUAUUUACACCUAUUCG
Non-coding RNA from Biomphalaria pfeifferi, 229 nucleotides. Lineage: Eukaryota; Metazoa; Mollusca; Gastropoda; Planorbidae. The record is from the annotation of a GenBank genome assembly.